Molecule: ribosomal RNA, 164 nt
Filed under: Euphorbia misera
Lineage: Eukaryota; Viridiplantae; Streptophyta; Magnoliopsida; Malpighiales; Euphorbiaceae
Description: 5.8S ribosomal RNA
Rfam family: 5.8S ribosomal RNA
About the family: 5.8S ribosomal RNA (5.8S rRNA) is a component of the large subunit of the eukaryotic ribosome. It is transcribed by RNA polymerase I as part of the 45S precursor that also contains 18S and 28S rRNA.
Source: RNAcentral
UAAACGACUCUCGGCAACGGAUAUCUCGGCUCUCGCAUCGAUGAAGAACGCAGCGAAAUGCGAUACUUGGUGUGAAUUGCAGGAUCCCGCGAACCAUCGAGUCUUUGAACGCAAGUUGCGCCCGAAGCCUUUUGGCUGAGGGCACGUCUGCCUGGGUGUCACCC